This 5037-nucleotide long non-coding RNA is filed under the name Homo sapiens (human). RNAcentral's name for it is "HSALNT0027728". The record is from RNAcentral. Lineage: Eukaryota; Metazoa; Chordata; Mammalia; Primates; Hominidae.
GCACUGUGAACAUCCCUAUCCUGCUUUGUUCCAAUCUAAUUACCAGUGCAUGCAGCCCCCAGUCACGUACCUCCUGCUUGCUCAAUCGAUGACCACCCUCUCACGCGCAGCCCCCAAUCAUGUACCUCCUGCUUGCUCAAUCGAUGACGACCCUCUCACGCGCACCCCCUUAGAGUUGUGAGCCUUUAAAAGGGACAGGAAUUGCUCACUCAGGGAGCUUGGCUCUUGAGACAGGAGUCUUGCCGAUGCCCCCAGCCAAAUAAACCCCUUCCUUCUUUAACUGGGUGUCUGAGGAGUUUUGUCUGUGGCUCGUCCUGCUACAUUUCUUGGUUCCCUGACUGGGAAGUGAGGUGAUUGGUGGAUGGUUGAGGCAGCUCCUUAGGCGGCUUAAGCCUGCCCUGUGGAACAUGCCUGCUGGGGACUCCGACCAGCCUGAGAGACGCAGAUCCUGAGAGCGCUCCCGGGUACGCAUUUGCCCCGGUUGGACGCCUCGCCAGAGCAGUGUGUGGCAGGCUACCGUGGAGGAUCAACACAGUGGCUGAACACCAUGAAGGAGCAGGCACUUGGAGUCUGGACAUCUAAAACUUGGUGCGGUGUUUCUGCCUGAAAGCAGUGCUUGAUACCAGCACGAACUCUGCAUCUUCAGAAGUCCCACUGGGUGUUCUGGGUGGAGAACAGCAAUCACCUGGAAGCAUGUUUUUAUGAUUAUGGGAGGAAUCCUUUAGAGAACCUAUUCUUUUUCAUUAGGCAAAUAUAAGAUAAAUAGGUAAAUAGUUGCUUGGGUGGAAGGAUGUAACUGAUUUUCUGUGGCUUGGACAAUACUGCCAUUCUUGAGAUCCUUGAGUAUACAUGCUGUAGAGUGGAAAUAGACCAGUUUACAUAAGGAGCACCAGCACCAGGACUUCCAGACGAGAUCAAGAUCCCAAUCCUUCUACCCUGAGACUCCGUGUUACAGAAAGCAGUUGGUAUAUUGCGGCACUAUUCACAACAGCAAAGACUUGGAACCAACCCAAAUGUCCAACAAUGAUAGACUGGAUUAAGAAAAUGUGGCACAUAUAUACAAUGGAAUACUAUGCAGCCAUAAAAAUGAUGAGUUCAUGUCCUUUGUAGGGACAUGGAUGAAACUGGAAAUCAUCAUUCUCAGUAAACUAUCGCAAGGACAAAAAACCAAACACCGCAUGUUCUCACUCAUAGGCGGGAAUUGAACAAUGAGAAUACAUGGACACAGGAAGGGGAACAUCACACUCUGGGGACUGUUGUGGGGUGGAGGAAGGGGGGAGGGAUAGCAUUAGGAGAUUUACCUAAUGCUAAAUGACGAGUUAAUGGGUGCAGCACACCAGCAUGGCACAUGUAUACAUAUGUAACUAACCUGCACAUUGUGCACAUGUACCCUAAAACUUAAACGUAUAAUAAUAAUAAAAUAAAAAUUAAAAAAAGAAAGCUGUUGGUAUAAACAGCUGUCUUUAUAUACAGCAUGACCUAUAGUUGAUAUGCAGGGAGAAAAAGAUAACAAGAGUCUGAAAAAAGAACUUAAUAAGAGAAAAAUUUUAGUUGGUACCUAUGCUAAGCAGAAAGGAUUAUUGAGAAAUGGCUGGUUGGAAUGAAAUUAGAAUAAAGGUUGAACUUGGAAUGGUGUUGAAGAAAAUACUGAGUAUAUCAAAGAGCUAUGAACUUGAAGCCCAGCAGGAGUAAACAUAAUGUUGCCAGGAGGAAUUUGUACUUAAAUAUUAUUAUCGAAACAGAGGGCAUAGUAAAUUGUGUAGAACCAGUCUUCUAAAUGGCACCUAGUAGCAGCAUCUAAAGCAGUUAGAGUAAUGGUUGACUUACUGUAAUCAGUAAAGGUUAGAGUUGACUUAAGAUUUUAUUGGGAGAAGGAAGAUUCCCUGUUAAUCAGAAAAAGUGAAUGCUUUUGUGUCAUUUAUAAACACAUAGGAGAUAUGAAAGCAUCUGUGUUUAAAGAUAAUUAAGCAUUUCCUAUAGUUGGCAUUAGUCAGGACAGGGCAGGCACUACAGAGACACAGGUGCCACUCCGAUUAGAGAUAGUUUGUUACUAUCAUUUUGAAUACAAAACUCUUUUCACACCUCGGUAGGGGAGAGACUAUUGGGAGGUUUUUCUUGCAUCAGUAUGAAUACACUGGUCAUCUCUGCACCUGGCAUUCACAAGGAACUCUUAGUAUAGGGUAGACUUGGUCUUUGCCUUUAAGAGAUUUACUUCUCCAAGGUUAAACGAUGCUUAUAGAAAUAAUGAUUAGUGGCAUAAAAAAGUUAUUUGAAAUAAUCAGAUGGAAAAUACAUGGAAUUUUGAAGAAGGAAAAGAUUCCAUUUGACUAGUAUGAUGAAAAGCCUCAAUAGAAGGAAUGAAGACUGAGGAAAUACGUGAAUGAGGCAUGGAAUUUUAAUGAACAAUGAGAACAAAACUUGUAUCCUUUUCUCUUUUUUUCCUCUUGGGAACCAAAGAUAGAAGAGCGUUUUCACUAUAUUCUUUGCAGAAAUGCUUUUGUAUGUAGAAUGCGGAUGUUUAUUUGGCAAAAAGAAAUAUGUAACGUAUAGGUAUUAAUUCAUACAGAGAGAAAUUGCCUUAUUCUGCAGAAACCAAGGUAUGGUUUCUUUGCGUAGAGCAAUUAUUUUCCCUUGAAAAGCAAACUACCUUUUAAAAAUGAGGCAGUAAGUUUUAGUAUCAUGUUAAGCAGAAUAUUAUGGCUUUAAAAAUGUCUUAGAAUCAAAUUCAAGGCUAUGGUGUUCAGUAGUUGUUAAUUUCACUUCACUGAAAUGGGUUUUCUUUAUUACAAGACAUUGAAAGGAAAAACCCAAAAAGGCAGAAUGGUGUUAUUCCCACUGAUAAGGAAGAAUCAUCCCUCUGAUUUGCUGCUUUACUUAUCUUGUGAAUAUUUGAGCUCUCCUCUGGUUGAAUAUUUAUGUAUUUAUUUAUUUAUUUCAUGAAUUUUAUUUUUCAUUUAGAGCAUCAAGAAUAACUACUUAAAAGGAGCUCAGCAUAAAGAAUUGAAGUCUUUUAUGUUUUUCCCUUUUACUGACUCUGUAAAAGCAGAACGGUUCCAAUUGUUCCUUCCUUUCUUUUCUUUUUGUCUGCAUCAGUUUUGUUCCAGGCCUGUGCUUUUCAGGAAGACAUAACAAUACUAGAUGUAGGUGUAAUAAACCAUACAAAUGAGUGCCUCAGUAAUCAUGUUAUAUUUUAGUUUAAAUAGUCUGCACCACUGCUUGACAUUGUUAACUUUUUGGAAUAAAUGUUUAAUGAAAUUCUUCUUUACUAAUUUAAAUCCAAAUUCAGAAUAAUAUAUUCUGUGAAAUUACAGGUCUAUGAAUCAGGUGCAGAUUGUCACAGCAUUUUCUAACCACACAUUAAAAAAAUAAAACCUUUAUGCCCAAAGGUCAGCAAUAGUUAUCCCUAAAGCUGAAUGUUCACAUAUCAAAUGAUGAAGUGCAAAGUGGCAUUAAGUAACUGCAUAUCAAACACUGAAGAAUAUUUGGGGUAUUUUUUCUGUUUUAUUUUUGCCCCCCUCUCCCAAAUGUUAUUCAGGUGUAACAUUACACCUGAGGGGUAAACAAUCAUUAGUUUUUUUCCCCAAAUACUGAUAAGGAGAUAAUCUAAUGUAGCCGGACCUGAAAUAAUCCACAUAUCGAACCUGGCCUGAGAUUCUCUGAUAGGUAAACAAUGUAAAGAGAGAUAGUUGGAUAUGAGGUGAUUCCAUUGGACAUGAAUUUUAAAUAGAGUUAUACAUCACCUGUCUACGUUGUAAGCAGUAUUAAGGCCUCAAUAGAGGACAUUUUAUUUAGAAAGAUUUACAGCAAAAUUCUAAAUUUUGCUACUUAAGAAGAAUUAGAACGUUUAUUCAAUUGUGAUACUAAAAGAAUGUUUUAGUGAUCAUAUCUUCACUUUUCAUCUUAGAACCCUCAGAGCAAAAUUUAACAACUGCAAUAACUGUGAAUUCAGGCAGACUUUUUUAUGAUUAUCUUUUUGUAUUGAUCUAGGCUAUAAGCUCUUGAGUAGCUUUUGCAUGGUCCAGGCUUGUUUAUUAUUUUUGUCUUUUAUAAAUCCACAUACAUAUAUAUAAUAUAUAUAUCAUAUAUAGUAUGCGUAUUAUACACACACACACACACACACACACACACACACAUAUAUACAGUAUAUGUAAGUGGAAAACUGGAAUUUUUUACUCAAAUCAGUCUCCCCCAAAAUUUGGAGACUGGGAAUUUUUAAGAAUAAUUUGGCAGGCAGGGACUAGGGAAUGCAUACCACUGAUUGGUUGGGGUGAAAUCACAGGGGUGUGGAAAGUGGUCCUUGUGUGCUGAGUCAGCCCAAUAUGAGGGUCAACAAAAGUGAUUUUUAUCUAUUUUUACCUAUAAGUAAUUGGGGAAGUUACAAGUCUUAUGACCUUCAGAAUAAUGGCUGCUUAUCAUGUAACUAAACCUAUAUCUUAGCAGAAUCCAGGCCCCUCUCAUAAUCCUAACAUUAUGGGCUUUCAUUAGUACUACAAUGGCAGUUUUGGUCCCAAAUAUGGAAGGAGUGGUUUUUGGGAAGGGUUAUUAUCAUCCUUCCUUUAAGGUUAAACUACAAACAAAAUUCCUCCCGAAUUUAGUUUAAGCUAGAACCAGAAAUGAAGAAGGACACCUUGGAGGUUAGAAGUAAGAUGGAGUCAACAAUGUCAAAACAAUAUUCAGGGGGAAAAAACAAUCAUAGAGAUAUACCAUUUGUUGAAUAAUAUCUGCUAGUGAUUUUACCUAAAUUAACUACUUUAAUCCUGAAAGCAAUACAAUGAUAACAGAGUUAGUAGAUUUUAGAGAUAAAGAGCUCAACCUUGAAAGAAGUUAACAGUUUCCUAAUGUCCCUUUGUUACCCUCAUUCAACCAAGGUCUCUAAAUGCUAAACAGAUGCUCUUCCCACCCCACCCUCAUUGAGCAGGCUUCCAGCAAUAAGUGGGGACAAUGGAGCAAAUACACAAACUUAAGUGCUCACCAGUAGUGUCCAAACAUAUGGUGUCAUAAUCACCUCCCCUAAUAAUUCCUGUUCCUGUUUCACAG